Molecule: long non-coding RNA, 1350 nt
Filed under: Salvia miltiorrhiza (redroot sage)
Lineage: Eukaryota; Viridiplantae; Streptophyta; Magnoliopsida; Lamiales; Lamiaceae
Description: long non-coding RNA (SMIL_LNC000504)
Source: RNAcentral
AUUUUUUUUUAUUAUUUUAUUUUUUUUCAUCCUCCACCUUUCCUCCCACUCUCCCUCCCACUACACCCACUACCCACUACACCUACUCCUACACAACAAUACAUUCGUCCACUCCUCUCUGUCUGCCAUAUCUCAAUUAUAUUAAACCCAAAGAAAUUCAAGUGCAGAGGUAAGUUUUGAGCUUUGUAUUCCCUCAUUUCUUUCCAUUAUUCAUCCCACAAGUAUUGAGAAACCAAUAUGGCAGCUCUCUUCCAUUACUUCGAUCAGAGGGGUACUAGUAGCAAAUCCAGCAACUACACCUUUCAAUUUCAGUAACACAAAUCAAAGGUUUCAUCUAUGAAUUUCCUCCGUUCAUUUACACUUGCUCAUACUUAGAACACUUUAAUUGCAGUACCACAAACAUUUUCAGACUUCAAAUUCAUGAUAAGCAAUACACAAACCUUUUCAUCUACAUAGGUAUACAUAUCGAUUAUGCUUAUAUGAAAUCACUCAGAAUUUAUAUAUGUACAUACGCAUAUUUUGAGUAUAACUAUUUUUUUUACAAGAGAUUGAAUGAGUAUAAAAACCUACUGGAAUAAGAGAGAAGAAAGAUGGAGUCUUGAGUUUUGAUUUUUGCUUGUCUAGCCUGAGUGUUUUGGGNCAUCUGAGUGGGGAGUCGGUCCGGUGAUGAUGGCAGAGAGAGGUGAGGCGUCGGGUCGGGCAGUCUAGUGAGCCGAGAGAGAUACCGAGGGAGGCGGCGGCGCUCGUCGUCGCCAAGGGGGAUUCAAGGGAGCUGGUGGCAGCGGCUUGUCGGCGCUGCUCCUCUGGCGAGCUCCACGGUGGACGGCUGUUACCAGCCGAAGAGAGAGAGAUCAGAGGGAGAUGGGAGAUUGCCGGCAGCUAUUGUCGCCGGAGAAGGGGGCGCGGCUGCGGCUUGGCGGCGGCAGGGGGAGACCGAGGGGGGGCGUGAAUCUGAGAGAGAGAGGGAGACGAGCAGGGGGGGAUGAGUGAAUGAAAAGUGAGUGUUUGUGCGUGUGUUGCGGCUGAUGGGGGGGAUGAAGGCUAGGUGUUGGGCUAGGGUGAGGGUUGGGCUUUGGGGAUGGGUUUGAAUUUUCGAAUUGGGCUUGAAUUGGGCCGAUUUUAAUUGAGUAUUGGGCCGAGUAUUUGGGCCGAUUUUUUUUAUGAGUGAUGGGCUCCAAUUUUUAAAUAGAUUUGGGCUGCGAUUUUUAAAAGCUUGGGCCGAUUUUUAAUUUUAUUUAGUGGGCCGAGUUUUGUUUAUUAAAUCAGUUGGGCCCUUGGUUUUAAUAUUUGUGAUGGGCCUUAAUUCAAUUAUUUAAAAGAUGGGCCUAUUAUUGUUUUAUUAAAUUGGGC